GUCUGGCUGGCUCAGUCGAUAGAGCAUAUGACUCUUGAUUUUAGGAUUGUGAGUUCAAGGCCCACGCUGGUUG
This 73-nucleotide transfer RNA is filed under the name Ailuropoda melanoleuca (giant panda). It matches the Rfam family "tRNA". From Rfam's summary of the family: Transfer RNA (tRNA) molecules are approximately 80 nucleotides in length. Their secondary structure includes four short double-helical elements and three loops (D, anti-codon, and T loops). Further hydrogen bonds mediate the characteristic L-shaped molecular structure. tRNAs have two regions of fundamental functional importance: the anti-codon, which is responsible for specific mRNA codon recognition, and the 3' end, to which the tRNAs corresponding amino acid is attached (by aminoacyl-tRNA synthetases). tRNAs cope with the degeneracy of the genetic code in two manners: having more than one tRNA (with a specific anti-codon) for a particular amino acid; and 'wobble' base-pairing, i.e. permitting non-standard base-pairing at the 3rd anti-codon position. Lineage: Eukaryota; Metazoa; Chordata; Mammalia; Carnivora; Ursidae. The record is from Rfam by way of RNAcentral.